UACGGAGGGUGCAAGCGUUAUCCGGAAUCACUGGGUUUAAAGGGUGCGUAGGCGGUCUAGUAAGUCAGUCGUGAAAGGUUCCCGCUCAACGGGAGACGUGCGAAUGAUACUGUUAGACUUGAACAUAGAUAAAGUGGGCGGAAUGCAUCAUGUAGCGGUGAAAUGCUUAGAUAUGAUGUAGAACACCGAAAGCGAAGGCAGCUCACAGUACUAUAGUUGACGCUGAGGCACGAAAGCGUGGGUAGCGAACAGG
Molecule: ribosomal RNA, 253 nt
Filed under: uncultured bacterium
Lineage: Bacteria
Description: partial 16S ribosomal RNA
Rfam family: Bacterial small subunit ribosomal RNA
Source: RNAcentral